ACGGAGGCCACCUUCGCCCUCUCCCGGGAUUGGCCGAGGAGCUCGCGCUCGCGCUCUUCCCCAGCCUCUCAUUGGCUUCCGGCGAAGAACUUUCUCUGCCUCGACUUGUAACUGGUGGCUUUCUCCCACACUUUCUGCAGGUCAGGAAUGGCUGCCACCUUCGGAGGCCCGAGCUCUGCGGCUCCUGAUUGGCCAAGUGAUGCGCGCACCCCGCGCAAUCCUUCGUCGAACGUGGCAGUGGGGAGGAGUCCCCAGCCGAGGGGCGGAGCUGCGUCUGCGCCUCCGAAACCCCUCGUGUUGCAUUCUGACUGGACCGCGUACCCGUAGCUGGCACCGCCCUCCCGGCUCGCGGGGCGGAAUCUGGGCUGACGCAACUUCCGGCGCGCGUGAGGGGACUCCAACUAGAAUAUGAACACCUGAAGGUCAUGACCAGGUUCUCCGUGUGCCUCCCUCACUUCCAGUAGAGCAAGGGUCAAUCAGAGGUGGUGGUACCUGCUGGGACACCUGUCUGCUUCAUUGGGGUGACUUUACAGGAGCUGGGACUUGCUGCAUAGAAAGGCUGCAAACGUGCCUCAGCAGGUGCCCACUUCCUCCCCAACGCAGUGGGGCCCUGGCCUGGGUGCUCGCUCUUCAUAACUGACGCCGACAAGCCCCUGUUCUGCAGCCCAGGUGGCCACAGCCAAGUCAUUCUGUGAAAACCAGGGCCUGAGCAGGGCUGGAGCUUGGAGGGGUCACGGCAUUUUGACGCCUUGGCUGUACUGAUGUGCCUUCUCCUCAAGGCCGCUCUGCCCAUCUUGAAAUGACCUCGCACACUGACCAUGCGGAAGCAGCAAAGCUGGAGGGAGGCCUGGCUUGGGGGUUGGCCUGAGAACCCAUCUCUCAGGUUGGUCAGAAGCUGGGUGAGGGAGGUUGUAGGGGUGCAUCCAGCCCCCCACAACUCAGGCCGGGUUCACUGAACACCUCUGCAGCUUCAGCCCUCGGGGAGGGGCUGGUGUUUAUUCCUGUGCCCCGGGCCUGAUUUGGAGUUUCCCUUGGAGGUCAGGGCCGCCCACCCUUUUGGCUGUGACAUCUGGAUCCACACAGCUGUUUCAGGACGUCGUCCAGGAGUCUCUCAUGCUCGGAGAAGGUGCCCAUUAAGCAUUGGUUGAGCUACUGAUUAAAUGUUUCUGAUAAAUACUAUUCUCAAAAAUACAGUUCUC
Rhinolophus ferrumequinum (greater horseshoe bat) is the source of this 1199-nucleotide long non-coding RNA. RefSeq lists it as uncharacterized. NCBI's taxonomy places the organism in Eukaryota, Metazoa, Chordata, Mammalia, Chiroptera, Rhinolophidae. The transcript has 3 exons. The record is from RefSeq and is a predicted model, not a curated record.